ACGGGUGAGUAACGCGUGGUCAACCUACCGUUGAGUGGGGGAUAACUAACCGAAAGGUUAGCUAAUACCGCAUACGUCUCCGAGGGGCAUCCCUUGGCGAUAAAAGGAGCAAUCCGCUCGAUGACGGGACCGCGUCCCAUUAGCUAGAUGGUGGGGUAACGGCCUACCAUGGCACCGAUGGGUAGCUGGUUUGAGAGAGCGACCAGCCACACUGGGACUGAGAAACGGCCCAG
This 233-nucleotide ribosomal RNA is filed under the name uncultured bacterium. RNAcentral's name for it is "partial 16S ribosomal RNA". It matches the Rfam family "Bacterial small subunit ribosomal RNA", at positions 102 to 334 of the family's 1533-position model. The record is from RNAcentral.